This is a non-coding RNA of Callorhinus ursinus (northern fur seal), 106 nucleotides long. The record is from RefSeq and is a predicted model, not a curated record. Lineage: Eukaryota; Metazoa; Chordata; Mammalia; Carnivora; Otariidae.
CAUUCUUGGAAUUACUGAAAUACCAGGUUGAUGCAUGAGGUGGACAGAGCAAGCUCCUAUUCCAUCUCCUUGUUCUAAAAAUCCAUGUAGGAAGUACAGAAAGCUG